This 73-nucleotide transfer RNA is filed under the name Trichonephila inaurata madagascariensis. It matches the Rfam family "tRNA". From Rfam's summary of the family: Transfer RNA (tRNA) molecules are approximately 80 nucleotides in length. Their secondary structure includes four short double-helical elements and three loops (D, anti-codon, and T loops). The record is from Rfam by way of RNAcentral. Lineage: Eukaryota; Metazoa; Arthropoda; Arachnida; Araneae; Nephilidae.
GUCCCUGUAGCGCAAUGGAUAGCACGUUGGACUCCUAAUCCAAAGGUCAUGGGUAUGAAUCCCACCUGGGAUG